This 301-nucleotide ribosomal RNA is filed under the name uncultured bacterium. Its description in RNAcentral is "partial 16S ribosomal RNA". It matches the Rfam family "Bacterial small subunit ribosomal RNA", at positions 509 to 809 of the family's 1533-position model. The record is from RNAcentral.
CAGCCGCCGCGGUAAUGCGUAGGGUGCAAGCGUUAAUCGGAAUUACUGGGCGUAAAGCGUGCGCAGGCGGUUUGUUAAGACAGAUAUGAAAUCCCCGGGCUCAACCUGGGAACUGCAUUUGUGACUGGCAAGCUAGAGUGUGGCAGAGGGGGGUGGAAUUCCGCGUGUAGCAGUGAAAUGCGUAGAUAUGCGGAGGAACACCGAUGGCGAAGGCAGCCCCCUGGGCCAACACUGACGCUCAUGCACGAAAGCGUGGGGAGCAAACAGGAUUAGAUACCCGAGUAGUCCCUGUCUCUUAUAA